CUAUGCUUAGGCGUAAACACAAAAAAUUCAUAACAAAAUUAUUCGCCAGAGAACUACUAGCAACAGCUUAAAACUCAAAGGACUUGGCGGUGCUUCACAACCAUCUAGAGGAGCCUGUUCUAUAAUCGAUAAUCCCCGAUAAACCUCACCACUUCUUGCUAAUCCAGCUUAUAUACCGCCAUCUU
RNAcentral lists this ribosomal RNA (185 nucleotides) under Hystrix indica. RNAcentral describes it as "partial small subunit ribosomal RNA". The record is from RNAcentral. Lineage: Eukaryota; Metazoa; Chordata; Mammalia; Rodentia; Hystricidae.